Molecule: RNA transcript, 3157 nt
Organism: Aedes aegypti (yellow fever mosquito)
Lineage: Eukaryota; Metazoa; Arthropoda; Insecta; Diptera; Culicidae
Gene name: diuretic hormone receptor
Exons: 12
Source: RefSeq, a predicted model, not a curated record
UCGAUCUGAUUAAUACAUAAUUUGAUUUUUAAAGGCGCCAACAGUUGCCCGUCAAGGAUCAACAGCUGGUUGCCUGAGUUUCAUCCUGCUGUACCGCGAAUAUUGCGAGUCAAGGUGCACACGGAAAAGCUAUUGACUGGUCGCCUUCUCUCGUCAUCGCAUCGAAACGCCGCGGCCCCUGGGAUCCAUGGAAAUGCGCGACGAGAGUCACGACUCACGAGUUUGGGACGCGGAGUGGAGCGGAGGAACAAAACGCGAAGAAUUUCGUUAUCCUAGGUCUACCGCGAGCGCGAUACGGUUCGAUUCAGUUACGAUUGGUACAGAAACGCGAUUGGUCGGUCAUCUGAAUCCGCGCGCGGCGGCAAGUGAAUGAGGGGUUGCGUGUCGGUGGCCACGAAUACGUUGUGAAUGUGUGUUUAUGUUAUUGGUCCGUUUCAGCAGAUGAAGCAAGAUUGAGUUGUUGAUCAACGUUUCUGUUUGGGAUUUCUCGCGCCAGGGAAAGAUGAAUGAAAAGUGCAAAACUUUCCGGUUACGAAAGGUUGUAGAGAAAAGAAGUGUUUACAAAUCUCGAUGAGGCACACUAAAUUAAAACAAGCGACCGGGAAGGAGUGCGAAGCAAGUGAUAACGAUAAGAAGUGCUCCGAUUAGUGUAGGACCCAAGUGUCCUCAACAAGGAUGAACGACUCAUCAUCAGCGUCAGUGGAGUCGUUGUUAGCCCUGGCGGGUGCCGGUGGAGAUUUCGCCGGUUCCGGUAGUGGCGAUGGCUUUCCACCAAUGAUUUUGAACGAAACUUUGCGGGAUCUGUGCCACCAACAGAACGACACCCUGUUUCUGGAGCUGUCCUGUCCUCCAUUGUUCGAUUCGAUCUCGUGCUGGCCAAGGACACCGCCGGCAACAACGGCAGUUUUGCCGUGUUUCUCCGAGUUCAAGGGAGUGCAGUACGAUGCGACACAGAACGCCACCCGCUACUGCAACAUCGACGGAACGUGGAACAGCUUCGCGAACUACGAUGCCUGCAAGCACCUGGAACUGCCAUCGUCCGAUCCGACGCUCGAAUCGUUCAUCGAAUUACCGAUAGUGAUUUAUUUUGUAGGGUAUACCAUAAGCUUACUGGCGCUUUUUUGCGCCGUUACCGUUCUAGUUUACUUUAAGGAGCUACGAUGCCUCAGGAAUACUAUUCACGUCAAUCUCUUCGUCACCUACAUCAUGUCGUCCAGCCUGUGGAUCAUCAUACUCUCUCAACAGUUGGCUGCCAAGCAGGGUCUGGUGGAUUGCAUCUUCCUGGUGACGCUAUUCCACUACUUUAGUACGACCAACUUCUUCUGGAUGCUGGUGGAAGGUCUCUAUCUCUACAUGCUGGUGGUUCAAACGUUCUCCGGCGAUUAUCUACGCUUUUGGAAGUAUUCCAUCAUCGGCUGGGGAGGUCCUUUAAUCUUUGUCGGAGCGUGGGCCAUUGCCAAGUCCUUUUAUCCGUAUGACCUGAUGCCGGAGCAUCCGAACAAGCUGGAAAUCGAAUGCUCGUGGAUGCGGGAAUCUCACAUCGACUGGAUUAUUCAGGGCCCAUCCUGUGCCGUGCUAGUAAUCAAUCUCAUCUUCCUGCUGCGAAUCAUGUGGGUUCUCAUCACCAAGCUCCGAUCGGCCAAUACGGUCGAAACGAGGCAAUACCGGAAGGCAUCCAAGGCACUGCUGGUACUUAUUCCGCUGCUAGGCAUCACCUAUCUGGUGGUCAUCUACGGGCCUCACGAGGGCGUUGGCAGUCGGAUCUUUGCGGUCACCAGAGCGGUCCUGUUGAGCACACAGGGCUUGGUAGUAUCGUUACUCUACUGCUUCCUCAACUAUGAGGUGCGAGGAACUCUACGGUUACACUACUACCGUUGGCGAGAUGAGCGCAACAUUCGACUGGGCAUCAUUUCCAAACAUCGAAGACCGACCAUCAGUGGAACUGAAAGUAUACGUAUUACCACUACGACAACCACAACAACAACCACAUCGGUGCCGUUGAUUUAAGUUUGAUUGCAUCAACCCGAACGGACUGAUGACCGAGCAGAGGCGAGCAGAAUGGAAAUUGAGACGGAAAAAUAUAAAAAUGUCGACACAAACAACCACCCACUACUGGUUCCAGUUUUUUUUUUGUUACAACCGACGCGAGGCAACGUUCGAACGAGUUUUCCUCAGAUUUUUUUUUCCUAAACGAUCUCUACGUGAUGACAAAUUCAAUGACGAUGGUAUUGAUCGUCGUCGGAUGUUGUGACUAAUUAAGUGUCACCCUGGAGUAUAGUGUCGUGAUAAUGAAAAGCUUGGCACCACCCUCCUCAAGGCACCACCACCACCACAACCAUCACAACAACCUUGGCGGUAGCAACUGAACUUCCGUACAUAAAAUUCAGCUUCCGGUCAAAUUUGUACUAUGGACCUCCGGACAAGUUUGGAACCAACACUGUCCAGGGAGUUGCAAACGAAACAACUUUGCGGAGAGAAUUGUUAGUUAGACGACACGGCGAGCAGGGCGGUGGCAACUGCUACAAUUAAAUUGAAUUUCAAAACAAACAUCAUCGUCUCACGAAUGGGAACUUUUAAUUCAAUACUCCGACGACGACGACGACAAUGAUCUUUUGUGUGCAGGACAAUGGCGAGCGAUUGCAUUUGGAACGGUGUGAAGUAUUUACCGAAGUAGAAGUCAAUACAAUUUGCAACAGACAGACAGACAGGCAGUCAGUAGGACGACAUAGAAUCUCAUCUCGAGCCAAGUGGGACAUGUUUGCACUUCAUUUGGCGGUUGAUUUCAGUUAGCGAAGGAUUUCGCUCGGAAGGUUGGGAUUAAAACGAAAUUUGCGGACGGGCUGCGGUGGGAGAUGUAAAUAUUUACAAAUUCGAUUGAAAUUUCUAGGCGAGUCGUUCGUGUGUUUGGAUCGGAUUUCACUGUCAGCAUGUGUGGAGUUGGAUGUAUGAUAAGGAAAGUCAGAAUAUGGCAGGCAGCUUCAACGUAACUGAUGUACAAUGUAUUUAGGUUAGGUUUAUGUAGUUUAAUUAUCCAAACGGGUUUAAAGAGAGACCAAACCAAAGCUUACACAUGUUAGUAUAGAUUAAAUUGUCAUUUUUGUAUAUAUUUGAAACAUUGAAACAUGCAGAUAUAAGAUUAAAAGAACAUUGAUGUAAA